Molecule: long non-coding RNA, 1228 nt
Filed under: Coturnix japonica (Japanese quail)
Lineage: Eukaryota; Metazoa; Chordata; Aves; Galliformes; Phasianidae
Description: lncRNA (ENSCJPG00005016471.1)
Source: RNAcentral
AUGGCAGGAAUCGACAGGGGAAACGUGAAACAGCAGCCAAAGCAAAGAGAUGGAAAAAGGGAUCCACAACCCAGUGAAUGCAGGUUCAGCGCCGCUUCUGUGCCACUCAUGCAUGCAGUUUCAUGGAAAGAUAUAGCAUCCGAUGUCUUUCUAGAAAGCAUAACCACCCACGUCAUGAAAGGGAUCUUUCUGUUACCUGCAAAGUUUGGAGUAUGUACCGUAAAAUAAUUAGGAAAAUGUUUCAUACCAACCCACCCUCUUUAUUAAGUAAGUAAUUUCUUCAAGUAUUUUUCAUAGUGCAAGUUAUUGUUUUGUAUCAGUACAAUAACGAUGGGAAUUCACAGUCCAAAAAAAAAAAGAAAAAAAUUAAUAAUAAUAAUCUUAAAAGAUUUCCAAAGUCAAACAAAAAAAUUUUAAUACUGUAUUUUAGCAAGAACAUUUUUAACAAAGAAUGUGUACUUUAACUUAAUAUGGUACAACAGAGAAACCAUACUUAAAAGUUUCCAUUAUCUAACACUCUACUGCAUAUUCAUUUUUUCAUCUUAAAAGACCAAAAGCCAAGCUGAACUGAGCAUAAAAAAGCAUCAAUUAUAAUCCUCAUAUUACGUCAGCUAUUAGGGUUUAGCUCACACUUCUGAAUUGGUCAUCUAAUGAAAGGACAAUUUUUACAUCAUUCUUUUAAAAAAUGUACACACAUUUCUUUUUAAAACGUAAUAUAUAUUGAGUAUCUGCUUCAGUAAACAAAGCUUAAUUUAUAAACACAAUCGAAACAGCUCCAUGUUGAACAGUUUCAGUGAUAAACUGGACUUGUAUGAUGUACAGCCAGUGAGGACCUUUGUGGCUUAAAAUCAUUGUGCCAUUGCUAUACAGUAAUAGCUACCUCCUUAGGAACAAAAGAGAAAACACAACCAAAAAGAGUUCUUUCUUUGGGGGUGGGAAGGGGAAAUAAUUCCUGUAUGUGCUUAAAAAUACUAAAACUCCUUUCUAUCUCCGGGGACCUAAAAAUGAUCUGUUGCAACAGGCUUGGUUUGGUAUGGUAAGCUUGUAAAAAGUCUCAAUAUUUCUUAAUGACAAUACGGCAGUUUUCGAUGCAGCAACAGUAAAUUGCUUGAAAUUGUCCUUCAAGUUUCAUGCUACAAAUCCUGUUCCUCACACAGUACUGAAGGCAUCAAAGGUUGGAAGGGACAUUUUUCAUGAACUAUAUAGUCUUCAAAUAGUGAUCAUUAUA